Molecule: long non-coding RNA, 276 nt
Filed under: Physcomitrium patens
Lineage: Eukaryota; Viridiplantae; Streptophyta; Bryopsida; Funariales; Funariaceae
Description: long non-coding RNA (PPAT_LNC011507)
Source: RNAcentral
ACCCUCGUUGAACCAAGGCCCCCCGACCCGCUUUGGCUGAUCGGGGGGUUCCGGGAGCAAAUUCUGGUGGGCGAGUACAGUGGAUCCUAGAUCGAUCGAACAAGGUAACUUCGAAAACAAACUCCCGAAUCUUCCCAAACAGCUCUUCCAUAGUUUUUCCAGUCCGCAGCAACGACUCAGGUUUGGAUGGGCGAAAUCACGACGGCAGCCACAAAAAAAUGGAUCUCCGACAUCACACAACCCGACACACCUAAGUUUCGCGAGGCUCGGCCCCUC